UAAUAAACACGACGAGGAAAAAAAUGAGACAUGCAACUCUUGAGUCUUUGAGCUAAACAAAACACGUUUGUUUUAGUCUUCUUUGGGAUAUAAACGUGAUGUGUACAGACAAGUGAAAACUAAAGACAGCCAUACACUUUUGGGGUACUUUGGCUCAACUUCCUUAAAUAUGUGUUCACAUACACUCAGGUGGUCCGGCGAUUUGCCACAGGGUUGUGCGGCGGGAGUGUCACCAAAUGGCCAAUUUGUGUGGUGCCCCAGAAAACACAAACUGCUCCUGUGGUUUUUCUAUAAAUAGUUCCAUAACUACCGCAAAAAAUGUCAGAUCUGUUGUGAAUUGCAUGGACAUUUUGAGAUCCUCUUAAUGAAAAAAUACAGUGAGGUGUUAGGAAUAACCAUUGAAUGUACAUGUAAAUUAGCAUUUCUUAAGUCAUGAAAAUCGUGUUUGUAAGGCACAGCUUUCACUCAGAUCCAGUCUACAAAAAUCAUGGCUUAUUGUGUUGUUAUCAGACAUUAAAUAGCAAAUACCUGUUUCCUCAUGUGGGUUUAAAGAUUCUAUUAGGACAGUAAAAUCUCACAGCCAUUAUAAAAAUACAAUAGUGGUAUUAUUGUAGGAGUAUUGUCUAAUACUAAAGCUAAUUUCAACCUUGCCUAAAGUUAAAAUAGGCAAAAAAUGUUCAAACUGUUCAAAGCUGCAUCCAAUGAAGGGCUGCUCUUUGUUUUGCUGGGCAGUGCGAAGGAUAAUCUAACAAAUAAAAUAUGCUGUUAGAAACACUGGCCACUCACACUUAUAGUCAUAUUGUAAGAAUGUAUUUUUACACCUUUGAUUUGAUUGACAUUGUGUUGUUUAUAUAGAUAUAGAUAUAUAGAUUAAAUAUAUACAUUACAUCUGUACCUACAUUGAGAGCAAAGCUAAACCGGAGUGAAAUUGUUUGUAUGUAUAUGUGUAUACAUACUUGGCCUAUAAUGCUAUGAUUUGACACUAUAGCCUGACACAUUAGUAACUCAAUGGGGUUACAUGGAUGUACAAAAAAGCAAUUCAAUCAAAUGUAUACUCGACUGUAUUGAGUUUAGUACUGUAUAACAUCAUUGGCUGUACGACCUACCUGGAACUUGUAAGGUAAAGCUGACUAAAAGAUUGGAAGUUAUCACCUUCCACAUUGACAGGCUCUAUUGUGUGUGUGUGUGUGUAUGUGUGAGUGAUUGUAUUUUUUUUUUGUUUACUUGUGCUAUAUUUAGCCUAUGACUGCAGAUUCACAGGCAGAAUGGGGCUUGAGUUUUUUGUCAUUUUUAAUUGACUGGAUUUGCUUUGAACUUUAGGUCAAAGGUUGCCAGGUUGAACACUACAACCAUCACACAUUUGUAUACCACAGUGUGUGAAAUAACUGGCGAUAAAUAAACCGAUAUUAAAGUGUA
Molecule: long non-coding RNA, 1416 nt
Organism: Sander lucioperca (pikeperch)
Lineage: Eukaryota; Metazoa; Chordata; Actinopteri; Perciformes; Percidae
Exons: 2
Source: RefSeq, a predicted model, not a curated record